CGUGCCGCCUCCAAAGGGGGAGUUGGAUCUCCAGGACGUCGCCGCCGCAAGACUUCCCCACGGCAACCCCAACGCCAGCUCCCACAGCGCCGCAUGUGGCGUUCGCGCCUGCACGUCGACGGCUGGCUCACGUCUGGACAUGGCCUUCGCGUCUCGUCGACGCCGGCGUGAUCAUGACUGGACACGGCCGCCGGCGGGGACGACCCCAUUGAUCGAUCUAUGUCACGGUUCGGAGGCCGGAACGACGGGGGCUAGUACGCUGCUACGACUACCUAUGGAUCCAUUGUCCUCUUAAUAUUCAACCAUGAUGUGCAUAUCAGGCCAGGAUUCGAUCGCCUCCGUCGUACCUUCGAGCACGGCCGGCGUCGCCACACCCAAAGCGAUGAAACUCGCAGGCAUUCUUGGCCAUCAGCCUCCACUACCGGUAAUCCAGAGGUCUUUCAAGUGUUGUUUGAUUUGCUGCACAUUGCCCGUUUAAUUUAUUUUAAUUAUUAUCAGCGAUGAUGCAUCGGUGUCUUGUCCGUGCUUUUACCAGUCAAUUAUACUUCCUCCGUUUCUAAAUAUAAGUCUUUUUAGCCAUUUUAAAUGGACUACAACAUACGGAUGUAUGUAGACAUAUUUUAGAGUGUAGAUUCAUUCAUUUUGCUCCGUAUGUAGUCACUUAUUAGAAUCUUUACAAAGACUUAUAUUUAGGAACGGGAGUACAUGUCUUUGAUGCUAAAAACACACCUCUUCUUGACAAUCCAUUCUGCGUAUCCUAUUUAGCUCAUAUUGGCAAAUGGCGAGUCAAUAAAAUGCAAGGUUGUUGGACAUUCUGAAAGGUACUACAUUUUAUUUCCUUCCGGUUAGAAACUGCUUAUAAUCCCUUUUUUCAAGAUCAAAGUUUUUAAUACCUAACAGCGAAAACUUUGAAAAUCUUGUGCCUCGUUAGAACAAAGGUUCCUUAUAAUCUGGCCUUUCUAAAGUAGAACACAAUUAUUCUAUCUCACACGCUAUAUAAAUAUUUCUGAAAAUCACUGUGCUACGUAGGGCACUGCAGUUACCUUUUUUCUUUUUGGUUAUGAGAAUUCAUAUGACAUAGUAGAUUAAUUGAAGUUACAUUCUGCAUUUUUUUUAAUCGGGAAGAUCAUUUCUUGCGGGCUGCAGGUUUUGAUUGCUUAUUUGCUACAUGAUUUCUUAUGUCACUUUUGUUAGAGUUAUAAUAUAAGUCAUGUAUACCCCUUUGUAUUUAUCCCGUUGUAUAAGGGGUUUCCUGCAUAUGUACCACACCUGUACGUAUAUAUAUACCGGCCUAUGGCCUCAUGGGAAUACAAGUUGCUUAUUCCUAA
This is a long non-coding RNA of Triticum aestivum (bread wheat), 1328 nucleotides long. RefSeq lists it as uncharacterized. Lineage: Eukaryota; Viridiplantae; Streptophyta; Magnoliopsida; Poales; Poaceae. The record is from RefSeq and is a predicted model, not a curated record. The transcript is spliced from 2 exons.